UUGUACUUCCUACUGAUGCUUCUCAAUAUUUUUUAGUGGAGACCAAAUUGGUGGAGAUGGUUUCCCCCUUCAGCAACCCUCGGAGCUUAGAAGAAAAUUGUUCAUUAGGAUAAUCUUCUGACUCAUAUGUUUUCUCGAUCGACCCCAACAAUAGGGUGUGCAGUUCAAUCGAUGGGUGCUCGAUGCCUUUUUAGGAAUGUUUUUUUCAGAUUGAAG
This 216-nucleotide long non-coding RNA is filed under the name Lathyrus oleraceus (garden pea). RNAcentral describes it as "Pisum sativum (pea) long non-coding RNA (PSAT_LNC027453)". Lineage: Eukaryota; Viridiplantae; Streptophyta; Magnoliopsida; Fabales; Fabaceae. The record is from RNAcentral.